This 1567-nucleotide long non-coding RNA is filed under the name Apis mellifera (honey bee). Its description in RNAcentral is "uncharacterized LOC102654387, transcript variant X2". The record is from RNAcentral. Lineage: Eukaryota; Metazoa; Arthropoda; Insecta; Hymenoptera; Apidae.
AAUAUCCUGUACCGAUAUAUCAUCCCAAAUAUUAAAACAAAUAAAAUUAUCUGCACAAUUCAUUCAAAUAAUUUCAUUAAUCCGUCAAUCCGUUUGUUUGCGAAAUACUUGGACCAACAAGUCAGUUAACGCUUUAAAUACAAAGGCAAUUCUUUGCCUCUAGCUGCGAUAUUGACUUACAAAAUGAACUCGAAUAAAAGCGUCAGGCGGUGACUAUAGAUCAUCUCUAGCACCCUUCAUACCCUCUCGCACGAGUACACGUGUCGUAAUUCUCGUUCGUUUAAACCCUCCACCCUUAAUCUUCAUUUUCUCGUUGUGCUUUGAAUCGCAAAUGUCGCGCCCCUUCGUGGCGUAUCUCUCUUACUUCGAGGGGUCCAUAACAGAGGUCGCCUCUUUAGCUCAUCAGUUAUAAGGAUAAAGAAGAAAGAAAACGCGCUCAGAAACAUUGAAAAAAAGCUUUGCAAUAGGGGAAAUUCAAGGCGAAAAGGACUAUAAAAGGAGAUCUAAGAUUCCCUUAAGAGACUUCAAUUGACUUAAGCAAGUCACCAGCCACGUUUCAUUCGCACAACAACGAGGACAAUUAAGACUAUAUUAAUCAUCUAGGUUUCUUUCUUUCUUUAUCUCUUUUCCUUCUCUUCAACUAGUCGACAAAUUACGGUCAGUGCCCGUUUUACGGACGCAAAUUCAAUUACUGUUUCGCACAGAGACCGGCCAACAUAAAUAAUUACCAACGAAGCCAGACUCGUGGUCGUUCGGAAGAAAUGAAAUAGAUAAAAAGAGGGAGAGAACUUGUGAUUCUUGUGGCUUUUGUGGUCGCAAGAAUCCGAUGCUAGCGUGGUAAUAGCAUAAAUCAUUGUUACCUGGUCACGAAUAACGGUCGAUUGUUAUCAUGUAAGAAUCAUGCUUAAGAGACUUUCAUUAUCGAUCUAAAACAAGGAAUUUCAAAUUUAUAUAAUGUCGUAUGAUACUUCAUCUAAAGUGAGUUCAAGUGUUGACUUUUAUAAGUUCAUCUAAGAGAAAAUUAAUUACAUCUCCUUGAAACCAUUUAAUAUUUAUUCAAAACAUUUUUUGAUACUUCUAAAAACAACUGAUAUUCUAGAUGAUGAAUUUAAAUGAAAGAUUCAAAAUAUCAAACUUUAUGUGGAGUAACUGCUGCUUACAUUCGUUGCUUCGAGGACGCUACUUCAUCUAACAUUUGAACGUUCCCUCUACAAUCGUGUUCUUUUGCAAUAAUACUCCAUGGUAUUUUAUUCUCAGUACCCCUUUUUCUCUACAAUGAGCUCUUUUGUAUGCGUUACUGUAUCGCCUUUUAUCAUUCUUGUUACGUUUUUCAUGUUUCUUACUCAACUGUAGUAAUGAGCAUUCAAUGAAACUCCAGGAUUUUAAAUCGUGCUUUGAAACUUCAAAUGCAUACAAGACGAGUAUAAUAGAAACUUAAUCAUGGUUCGUACAAAAUUAAAGAAAAAUAAAGAAUGAAAUAAAUUAUCAACAAUAUAUCGUAUAUAAUAUACAUAAAUAUAAAUAGGAAAAUUUGAAAUGAAUAAAAUAUUACUUUUCGCAAAUGUUA